RNAcentral lists this unclassified non-coding RNA (161 nucleotides) under soil metagenome. RNAcentral's name for it is "partial internal transcribed spacer 1". The record is from RNAcentral.
CCGAGUGCAAACUCACCAACCCAUGUGAACAUACCUUCUGUUGCUUCGGCGGGAUCGCCCUGGGCGCCUCGUGGUGCCCCGGAUCAGGCACCCGCCGAGGGAUACUUAACUCUUGAUUUUAGUUGGAUCUAUCUGAGUAGCUUUAGGCAACAAAUGAAUAA